RNAcentral lists this ribosomal RNA (301 nucleotides) under uncultured bacterium. RNAcentral's name for it is "partial 16S ribosomal RNA". It matches the Rfam family "Bacterial small subunit ribosomal RNA", at positions 509 to 808 of the family's 1533-position model. The record is from RNAcentral.
CAGUCGCCGCGGUAAAACGAAGGGUGCAAGCGUUACUCGGAAUUACUGGGCGUAAAGCGUGCGUAGGUGGUGGUUUAAGUCCGUUGUGAAAGCCCUGGGCUCAACCUGGGAAUUGCAGUGGAUACUGGGUCACUAGAGUGUGGUAGAGGAUAGUGGAAUUUCCGGUGUAGCAGUGAAAUGCGUAGAGAUCGGAAGGAACAUCUGUGGCGAAGGCGACUAUCUGGGCCAACACUGACACUGAGGCACGAAAGCGUGGGGAGCAAACAGGAUUAGAUACCCCAUAGUCCCUGUCUCUUAUACA